Non-coding RNA from Rattus norvegicus (Norway rat), 22153 nucleotides. NCBI's taxonomy places the organism in Eukaryota, Metazoa, Chordata, Mammalia, Rodentia, Muridae. The record is from RefSeq and is a predicted model, not a curated record.
UUUUUUUUUUUGUUCGUCUAGCUAUCUGUCUAUUUAUUUAGAGAUGCGUCAUGUAGCCAAGAUGAGUUUCAAAGUUGCUAGUCGGCUCAGAGUGCUUUGAACUUCUGACCUUCCACCUCUGACCUGUUAGGAUUACAGUCACGCUCUCUCUACCUCUCUGUAGCUUUUUCACUAUGUAUGGUCCCUCGCUUUAAUACCAUUAAGACGGAGGUCCUCCAAUGGCCCAGAGCGUCGCGAUUUUUUAAAAAAAACUUGAUUGGGCCGGAAGAACUUGUUUUCGAGCGCGUUGACGUCAUUUCCAGGUGCUUUAUAUUGAGGAGCAGCCGGGCGUGUGAGGCAGACGCCGGAUGAGGCUGCUAGCUCUGUGUGAGCUUUGAGGCUCCAGUCAGCUGCGUGGUCCUGCGCCAGCGGCUUCCGGAGCGAGGGCUGCCGUGAGUUGGUUUCCUUGAGCGGACCGAGGAAAGCCGGCCGUGGGCGGUGGCAGCUGGUCCACAAAACCUCGCGUGUCUCAGCAGGGCAACGAGGCCUUAGCCCUUAGCGCCUGGCGGCUGGGCAGCGAGGCUUUAGGCCCUAGCGUCCCUCAGCUGGGCAGUGAGGCCUACCGCUUUUGCGCCCCUUGGCUGGGCAGCAAGGAGGCCUUUGGCCUUAGCGUCCCUCGGUUGGCCAGCGAGGCCUUAGUCCUUACGGGCUGGCGGCUGGGCAGCGAGGCCUACCGCAUUUGGGACCCAGGGCAGUGAGGCCUUGAGUCCUUUGCGCCCCUCAGGUCAGCAGUGAGGCCUACCGUGUUUGGGACCCCUUGCCUGGGCGGUGAGGCCUUGAGACCUUAGCGCCCCUUGGCUUGGCAGCAAGGCCUACGGCCCCCUCAGUAGGGCAGCGAGACUUUAGUGCUUUGCGCCCCUCAGCUGGGUAGCGAGGCCUUUGUCCUUAACACCUCUUGGCUUGGCAGUGAGGCUUGGCAGCGAGGCCUACCGCCCUUGUGCCCCUUGGCUGGGCAGGGAGACUUUAGGCCUUGUGCCCCUUGGUAGGGAAGUAAGUCCUAUCACCUUUGUGCUCUUGGGUGGUAUAGGCAAGACUUUCCACUUGUGGUUUCGUGCUUUGUGCUUCUUGGCAGGGCAGCGAGGGCCUCUGCUUUUCUGAGGACCUGUGUGCUUUAAGAUGGCCGCCCCUACAGGGCCUCCCAGCCCUAUGCAGUCACUUCGGGAAGAAGCAGUAUGUGCCAUCUGUCUGGAUUACUUUAAGGACCCCGUGUCCAUUGGCUGUGGGCACAACUUCUGCCGAGGGUGUGUGACCCAGCUGUGGGGCAAGGAAGAUGAACAGGACCGGGAACCGCCUGCUGUAGGGAACCACGUCAUUAGAGAGGUUUUGUUUCAUAGGUACACAGAACAGGAGGUGUUUCAGCACCGAGCACAUGCUGGACGCUGGGCUGCUCAUAGCCAUAGAAGGCAUCGGGGCAAUGCAGACUCUGUGUGGGAUGAUGAGGAAGAAGACUGGAACAGUUUACAAGGACUGGUACAUGACCUGAGAAUUAGGGUUUUUCCAGAAGAAAGAGAUGAACACCCCCACGAUGGCCACCAAUACCAUCACUAUGGCCGAUACCGACACCGUCCAGUUUUCCGCCGUGGUCCCCCACAUCCACCUGUGCGUCGGCAGCUCUAUCCAGAUGCCCGACCACGAUCUCCACCUCGAGUACGAUCUCCACCUCGAGUACAUUCUCCACCUCGAGUACGUUCUCCACCUCGUCCCACAUCACAGGUCUUCAGCUGCCCACAAUGCCGAAGGACAUUUCCAAGUCGCAGUUUUCGACCCAAUUUGCAGCUGGCCAACAUGGUCCAUAUAAUUCGCCAGAUUUGCCAUACGCCAUGAAAUUAGCAAAGCAUGCAAAUAUGAGGAAACCUGGAGCUCUCCAGUGAGGUAGAAAAAAAGCUCAUCUGUAUGGUGUGUAUAGAUUCCUGGCACCACAAAAAUAACAAUGUGGUGCCAUUGGAUGAAAUACUUAAACAAGGGGCAAAAAAAUGAGAAAUCUAUAGUACUUGGCACUCUCAGUGCUACCCCAGAUUUGGGGAGAAAUUAAAAUAUUCCAAAUUUAUCAGUGCCUGCAGCUUUAAAUCAGAAUAGAGUAGUUGAGUAUGUAGCUCAAUAGCAGAAUGCUUGUUUGCCUAGCGUGUUUCAUCUCCCACUUUCCAGUUUAUUUUGAAGUAAUGACGAUCAAGCUUCAGUUUUAGGAAAUAUUAGUCCUUUGUUGCUAUUAGCUGAGAAUUUACUUAUGGGAAUGAGGAAAACUGCUUUGCUUAGCUUCAGAAUUACGCUUUCAGAACUGAAUAUUUUCAUGAACCUGGUAUUUGACUACUUAAAAUAUUUUUGAGGUUGUUAUUAGCUGAUUUGAUAACAUGCUUUAUAGGAAUUUGUCAAUUUUAUAGUAAUGCCAUACAUAGAUUUUUAGCAAAAGUUGAAAAGUUGUCAAGAUAUACUGCGCUAUCUAUGUGGAUUACUUUGGAAAUCUUCAGGUUUUCUGUCUUAAGCUAAGAAAGAGUAUGCUUAGUUCAGGUUUGCUCUUGAAGAUGUGGAGCUCUUUCAAUGUUUUUGUUAGAUCUAAAGUUCCUUGGUCAUUAAAGAGAACUGUAUUCAGCAUUUGGAUAACAAUACUAACAUUAGGGAACCAAUGAAAACUUGAGGCUGAAAAUAUGAAACUUUGAAAAAUUAAAACUUUCAGUCAAAUUUUAACACUGAAAUGCACUGGCCCCGAAAUGAUAAUAGGCAAAUACUAACAUUUUUGUUGUGAAGUAUUUAAAGCAAAACUUGCUAAAACCAGCAUAUAUAGAUAUAUGUUAGAGAUUCUUAUAAAAAGUGCCUAAUUUUGUUGGCCCAGAACCAAAUUUAAGAACCAGAUUCAUGAAUAUUAUAUCUUUAAAUUUAAGUUAGUAUACAAAAUAAUGGAUUUCAUUAUGAGAGUUUCAUACUUGUGUAUCAGUGUACUUUGGUCAUAUUUGCUCCUCUAGUGUACUUUUCUCCUAUCUAGUCUUUAUUCAUAUUGCAUGAUGUUAGAUACAGAAAAUUACUAAGCCUAAAUUCUAAAGGGGAAAUCCGUUUUUUUAUCAUUACCCUUUCUUCAACUCCAUUCUCCUUCCCUUUAGAGCCCCCCUUUUCCUGUGUAGUUCCCCUUCAUCAAUGCCAUUUUAAGAAGAAUAAAACCUAGAAUAUUCAGAAAUACUUAGGUGGUGUGUUUCUGACAAGUUAAAAAUCUAUAUGGUAGCUUUGAGAGGAUAAAUGUGUUUCACCUUGUUCAACUUUUACUUAAUAGGUUCAAGGAAGACUUUGUGGAAUUUAAAUGAGUGAUUGUUUUGACUAGAAACUUAAUGAAACUUGUAACUGUCAAUGCAAAUAUGCAUUGCAUUUAUUUUCCAGUUUUCUUACAUUUUUGUUUCUGUUUUUAUUUUUCCCUUGCUUUAUUUAACUGGAAGGAAACUUAAUUGCUUGUUAAAAGUGACUUAAGUUUUAUUGUAUUUUAUACAGUAUCCAGUAAAGACAAAUUUAAGUUUCACAGUGACAUGCUUAUAUUAUCUGAAUAAAAUUACUUUAAAAUUAAAGAGAUUGAAUGAAAAUUUAAUUUAAAAGAAUAAAUGUUGAAAGGAGACAUUGUAGCAAAUAUUGAUCAAAAAAAGUUGAUCAAAAAAAAAUCUAAUAUCAGAGCUUGCAAAUAGUAUGCCUGUAGAAGAGUAACUGUUACCUAAAUUAGAUUCCUCCAUUCCUGUGGAGGUUUGAAUAUACUUGGCCAUGAGAAGUGGUACUAUUAGGCAAUGUCGUGUUGUUGGAGGAGGUUAGUCACUGUCAGGCUGGGAUUUAAGGUCCUGUGCUUAGACCCAGAGCAGAAGAGGUAAUCCUCUUGUUGCCUGCAGAAGAGAAUCUUCUGGCUGCCUUUGGAUCAAGAUCUAGAACUUUUGUCUCUUCCAGUGCCAUGUCUGUCUAGAUGCUGUCAUGCUUCCUACCUUGAUGAUAAUGAACUAAACCUCUGAAACUAAGCCAGCCCAAUUAAAUUUGUCCUUUGUAAGAGUUGCCUUGAUCACAGCAGGGAAACCUUAACUAAGACAAUUCCUGAAAACCACAAUUCUGAAACUUAUUUCAGUGUAAGAAAGAAGAUAGUUCACAUCACUGUUUUUAUAGGAACUUCUGAAUUCUGAGGGCUAAGGUUAAAGGGAUAUAUGCAUUAUUAGCUAGGAACCAAGCCUUCAAUACACAAAUCUAUAAACAACACUUGUACUCCACAGUGCAUAGCAAAUAAAAGCAAAGCAAAAAAUGCUCAGAGAAUGGGAAAGUUGGUGAGCUGUUCUAAAAUUAAGCUAAUGAAAAUGUGGCAUAUCCAUGCUUUUCCUUGUUGGAAAACAUUAAGCACUUGAUAUAUAAUUUCAUAUAAAAGGAAAUAAAGUCUUGCAGUUAUAUCCAAUUCUGAGUCUUUGAAGCUACAAAUAAAACAUAAGAAAUUCUACACAAAUACUACACAGAUCCAAUUAUAAGGAUGUUAUCCUGAUCCUGUGCUAGGCAAAAUGAGUCUGUUGUCAAGAUAAAGCUAAUGCACCUUAGCAAUUUGUUAAAAUUGGUCCUUUGUCUUAGGGUUUCUGCUGCAGGAACAAACCACCAUGACCAAAAAAAGCAAAUUGGGGAGGAAAGGGUUUGUUCAACUUUUACACUGUUCAUCACCAAAGGAAGUCAGGACAGGAAUUCAACAGUACAGGAUCCUGGAGGCAGGAGCUGAUGCAGGAGCCAUGGAGGAGUUCUGCUUACUGGUUUGUUUCCCAUGGCUUACUUGAAUGUGCGCUCUCGCGCUCUCUCUCACACUCACUCACACACACGUUUUAAAAACUUCUUAUUUGUUAAUUUCACAUCAUACACUCGAAUUCCACUCAUCUCCAGUCCCUUCAUACCAGCCUCUGUCCUUGCAAUAUCCCCUCUUAAAGAAAAAAAUGUGGAAGUUGUAGUGUGUGACAGUGUGUCCCACAGUUAUUUCCUUGUGUUCACACUUUACUUGCAAAUGUUCAUUGCUAUGAGUCAUUGGUCUGAUUUGAGGCCUCUGUCUUCUGCUACUCUAUAAAUACUGGGUCCUCAAUAGGACUCCUCACAGAUACCCUGUUGUUGUCCUGUGUCAUGGAGAUCCUUCAGCUUUGGAUCUGCAGGACCAGCCCUUCACAUCCUCCAGUUCACUGAUUGGGUAGAAACCUUGGAUCUGGGCUGGUUGAACUGGUGAGCCUGUUAACUCUCCUGUACCUACACCAUCAGGGAAAACCCUCUAGUCCUGUCCCGGGUAGCUCACCCAAUGCUGCAGCUGAGCUGGCAAGGGGUGGACCCAUUUCUCCUCUAAUGCUUUGGGCCAUCUCACCCAUUUCCAUGCCGGCAGGACCAGCUCUAAUGUUCUGCCCAGGUGAAUGAAGUACAGGGCCUGCUCUCCUUGAGUGCUGCAGCACAGCCUGCUUUCUUAUAGAACCCAGUAAUAGCGCUACCCACAAUGGGCUGUGCCUUCUUCCACUGAUCACUAAUUGAGAAAAUGCGUUAUAGCUGGAUCUCAUGAAGGCAUUUCCUAAACUGAGGCUUUUUCCUCUAUAAGAGCUCUAGUUUGUGUCAGAGUGAAACAAAACCAGCUAGUGCAACUGAAUCCUUGUGAACUUGAUACACAAGCACAUCACAACCCUUCCUGUCUUAUAUCCAAAUAUCUUAAGUCCCAUAGUCUUCACAAAUUCAAACAUUACAAUUUCAGUCCCUUUAAAUAGCCAAUUUCUUCAAAAUCCAGUCUUUUAAAAUCCGAACUCUCUCAAUUGUGGGCUCAAAUAAAAUAAAAUAAACUUUCUUACUCCAAGAGGGAAAAAUUAGGACACAGUUGCAAAGCAAAAUCAAAUUCCAACCAUCCUAGUGUCUGGGAUCCACUCACCAUCUUCUGUACUCCUCCAAAAGUGUUGGGUCUCUUCUCCAGCUUCAUUCCACUGUUGCUGCUGUUCUUGGUUGGCAUGUCAUGGGGCCAAACCUUGGCAAUUCUCUCCAAUUGGUUCAUACCUUCAAAACUAUUAACACUUGGAUGACUUAUAUAGUACUGAGUCUGGCUGACAGCAGAAGAUACAACCUUGGUCACCUGCUGACUUUCAUGAAACACUUCCUGAAAGAUUUGAUUCAGUGUUGCUGGUCUCCUCUCAAUCAUCACUAAUUUCUUAGCUACAGCUAACCAAUGUCAAUUGUUCAGUAAUGCAAAAGUUUCACUUCAGUGAUGCUGGUCUCUUGUUAAGCUCAGCUGACUCUAGCUCCAGCUGACUAGAAUGGCAGAAUCUUAAUUCAAAAUAGCAAACAGCCCUGAUAGAAACUCUAAACUUCCUCUGAAACUUCAGUUAGGCCUCCAUCUUUUACACUGCUCUCAACAUUGUUACUGUCCAGGUUUCUGAAUAACAUCCCACUGAGCUCUUAACAUUUAAUGGCUCAGAUAGGCCAAAGUUCUGAAGCUCCUCCACAUGUCUCCACAAAACAUGGCCAAGUCUGUCACUACAACACCCAACUAUGCUGGUACCAACUUGUCUUUGGGUUUCUAUUGCUGGGACAAAACACUAUGACCAAAAAGCAAGUAGGGUAGGAAACAGUUUAUUCAGCCUACACUUCCACAAUACUGUUUGUUCAUCACCAAAGGAAGUCAAGAUAGCAACAGGGCAGGAACUUGGAGGUAAGAGCUGAUUCAGAGGCCAUGGAGGAGUGCUGCUUAUUGGCUUGCUUUCCCUGGCUUGCUCAACCUGCUUCCCUAUAGAACCCAUGCUGGACUGGGCCUUGCCCCACUGACCACUAAUUGAGAAAAUGCCCUGCAGCUGGAUGGAUCUCAUGGAGGCAUUUCUUCAACUGAAGCUUUUUUUUCUCUGAUGGCUCAAAUUUGUGUCAAGUUGACACAAAAACAGCCAGUACAGUUCUAUUGUCCAAAACUGUUCUGCUUAACAUAGCAUGCUGAGAGAAAAGGGAGUAGGAACUGGAUUAGCCUUAAGAAAUAAUAUAGCUAUCAAACUGCAGUGAUUAGUUGUGUUCAGAGAUAAGGAAGAAAAACUGAAUCAAAAAUUUGUUGGUAGUUUGACUAAAUUAUGGACUUUUCUCUGUUCCUCUAACAGGGAAAAGAGACCAAGCAGAGGGAAUGUAGGAAAUUUCUCCAGUGUAUUAGAUAUUUAAGCAAUGUAGAACAAAAAUAAUUUUAAGUACAUAGUGAGACUUUUUAAAAAUGACUUAUUACUCUAAAUUUAAUGAUCAUUCUUUUAAAAGCAAAUAGUGGAAGUGUAUUACUAAUACCAGUUGAUCAUCAUAUAGUUUAUACAUCUUAUUUCCUUGUUCCUGGAAUGAGCAUUAUUAAAGCUUACUGUGUCUGGAAUGGUGCCUUUGGCAUAAGCAUUAAGAAAUAUAUAGACAGGAAAGUUUUGUGCAGAUGGAAAUUCUGCUUUCCUCAUUUUAGUACCAUUACUGCUAUUUUUCUCCAUUUCUUGACCACAAACAGGAAAAAACAAGAAUAUUUUUAGAUUUAAGCUUUGUUUAUAGUAAUUAGAUUAAUUUUGUUAUCACAGGAUGGCCAGAUGUGCAUGAAAACCACUUUGUGUUUCCCAACACAGAUCAUAUUAACCUCCAUUUUUUUUCCCUUUUGGACCAAGCAAGUGGUGACCAGACGAUCUAGUCUGGAAAAGCUUAAUUGCCAACUCUGAAUUUAGUGGGGGUGGAGAAAUUCCUUAGAGGGAAAUGGGAAUUUAGUUUCAAGAUAGUAGUUUCCAUGUGCAAAUGAGCUUUGAAUUCUCCUAAGGAGAAAAAUGAAUAUUAGAAAAAAAGCUGCAAAAAAACCCAAAAGAUUUAGGAUAAGUUUAUUUUUAAGGAAACUAUUUAAAAUAAGUUACGAUAUAACUCACAUAGUUUUGUAGGACUAAAAAUAAUGAACUUUUUUGCAGACCUUAAAGUUUCUCAUCAACACUUGAAAGGAGUUAAAUGAGCUGACAGAUUUAAUUACUCAAAGUAGUCUGUAUCAUUUUUUAUUUCACUUUGACAUAAGACUUGGCACAAAUCUAUUAUAAGCUGUGCUCAUUUAUUGCUGCACUUCUAAGUUAUAAAUCUGGUUUAUAUCUAUGGAAAAUGUAGUAUAGUAUUGAAGACAUGUCCAGUUAUCUGGGCAAUUUGUUUUAUGAGUUUAUACCAAAUUAAGUAGAAAGCAUUUGGAGAAUUUGUUUUUCCUCUGUGGGUUGCAAGUCAGUUAGAAAAAGACCUUUUUGAGCAAGGGAGUUCAGAGUUCUGGCUCUUUAGUCUAUUUCCUGAAUAGAUCUGAUUAAAACAUGAUCUAAAAGUCUGAUUGAUGGUGUCCAUUUCCCUUUUCAAUGUAACAGAUACAUUCAGAAUGUUGACAUCUAUGAAAGGUAGAAACAUUGAUGCUGUAUUGCAUUCCCCUAGUAUUUCUUACUAGUGGAGGAAAUGAUUUAGUCAAGAGACAGGCAAAGCUAGUUUUCUCAGGUAAUAAUUUCUGAAAUUUAUAAUAUUUUAUAUAGUAUACUUUUAGACUUUUAGAAUGGCUUAGCCAAAUUAGAUACAAUAUGUUCAAAUAAACAGUUUGGUUGCUGAUAAUGAGGGUAAUGUGGAGAGAAAGCUUUGUCAUAACUGGGUAUAAAGGAGGGGGAAGUGUUAACUGUUUCCUUCUUUAGUUCUCUGUUUUGGGAAGGGAGAUUUCUUAGAAAGAUGGACAAGAGGGAGAGAAAAGGAGACAGAUCAAGAGAUUUCUAAGGAAAAAGUUAUGAAUGGAUUGUGUAUGGCUGGACUUUUCCUCCCUCUUUGGGAUUGGGGAUGGAUUGACGUUUUUUCCUCUUAAAGGUAUAGCAAAUUUUUGUUUUAGUACUACAGGUGUUUUCUUUACCUUUUAAUGCUGUACUUAGUUUUUUGAGCAGGGUCUCAUUUAAGCUAAGCUGGAUUCAGAUUGGCUAUAUAGUUAAGGAUGAUCUUGAUCUUCAUAUUCUUCUGCCUCUGCCUCAUAAUUGCCGGAAUUAUAGGCACACCACACAGCUGGCCUAAAUUAUAUACUGUUAAAAUGUUACACUUACUUCAAGUUAGCUCUGAUUUAUUUUAUCAGCUCUUUCAUUUUGGAGGGUAGGGUUUAUACCUUUUUUGUUGGUUUGCUUUGUUUUGUUCUGUUUUAUUUCCUUGGUGAUACUGAGUCAUGACUGUGUAUCAAAACCUUUUUGGUUUGGUUUUGAGAUUAUGUAGUUAUAUAAUUUCUACAUUUCCUUUCCUCCUUUAAAUCUCUCCCCAUGCCCCGUCUUUGUUCUUUAAAUUCAUGGUCUUUUUUUCGUUAAUUGUUGUUACAUGUGUGUAUGUAUGUGUACUCCUAAAUAUAACCUGGUCAAUUUGUAUAAUAUUACUUGUAUCUGUUUUCUGAGCUGACCACAUGGAAUUGAUAACCAGUGGAGCGCUUUUCUCUGGGGAAGACUUAGUUCUUCCACUCUCUACAUUCCUUUCUUUAACAUUUUAUUUUUCUUGGAUACUUUAUGUAUUUACAUUUUAAAUGUUAUCCCAUUUCCCCCUUAUUUGCCUGUAGUUUCUUGUUUAGAGUUGAGGCCCCAUGAUCUUACAGUGCCUUUCAACUUGGGCGUGUUUGUUGGUGUUCUUGAUCAGCUGAUGUUAGACACUUUUGUGAUGAGAAUUUACAGGUGCAGCUUCUGAUGCUACUGAGAGACUCACAGUAACCUUCCUGAUUCUCUAGCUCUUAAAUUUUUCUGUCCCCCUUUCUACACUGUUCCCUGAGACUUACGUGCAGGAGCUGUUUUAUGUAUGUAGCCAUUGGGACUGGGUUAUACAAGUCUGCAUUUUGAUUUGUUGUUUGUAGAGGAAUUUUAAACCAGCAGUGGAUCACAUCCAAAGGACUUCUAGGUAUAUAUGAUCCAGUUGGAAUGCAGAUAUACUUUGGAUUACAAUAUGAUCUGGUUGAAUUCGACACACCCUUAAUGUACCCUUAGUUCAGGAUCAUGCUAGUUCUACAAAGUGGUUAUAGGUUCUUCUCCAAGAUCCAUGACUUCACUGUCCUUGGGAACUUUGCUAGGUUUCUGGUUUGCAGGCCUGGUUUCCCUCUGGUUGACUCGUCUGAAGUCUAGUUAGAGGUGCUCAGGACUGUUGGUUCCUUCCUCCUGUGGCAGCUUACAUGGUGCUUCGUGGUACAUACUUUCUUAGGUGAGUAAACAACAGUGUGAUUCCUUAUGACUUUUUCAGAUGUUUUCACUAUUCUUUCCACUUUUCUGGUUUCAGUUAUUCCAGGAUAUGUUCAUGGUUAUUUUUGGGCGAGUUAUGAGUUCUUUGUAUAUUUUGAAUAUUAAUCUUUUAUCAGAUGUUUACCUUGCAGAGCUUCUUUCUCAUUCUCUGGGGAUUCUCUUGGUUAACUGCUUUUUUAGCUGUGCAGAAGCUUUUUAGUUUUAUGAAGUCCUACUUGUUAGUUGUUGGCCUUAAUACUUAGGCAAAUGAAGUCCUAUCCAGAAAAUUCUUUCCUGCACACAUAUAGGGUUUUACCUAUAUUUUUUUCUAGCAGUUUCCAUGUUUUAGGUUUUAUAUUUAAGUCUUUUGAUCUAUUUGGAGUAGUUUUUUUUUUCUUUUUUUUCUUUUUUCUUUUUUCUUUUUUUUCGGAGCUGGGGACCGAACCCAGGGUCUUGGGCUUGCUAGGCAAGCGCUCUACCACUGAGCUAAAUCCCCAGCCCCUAUUUGGAGUAGUUUUAUGCCAGGUGAAGCUGUAGUUAUUUUUCUAUUGCUUUGAGGAGACAUCAUGACAAGACCAACUUAGAAAUCAUUUAGUUGGGGGCUUGCUUAAAAGUUUCAGAGGGCUAGUCUAUAGCCAUAAUGGCAGGGAGUAUGGUAGCAGCCAGUCAGGCAGUAGGCAUGGCGCUGGAGAAGUAGCUGAGCUUAAAGCUCAUCUAAGGGAAACACCUCUUCCUACAAGGCCAGCGGUCCUGAUCCUUCUCAAACAAUUUUAUCUGUGUCAGAAGCAUUCAAAUGUGAAUCUAUGUGGGUUUGCAGCUUUAUCAUAAUGCAAGAUGCACUUAGUCCAACUUUAAAAGUACCCACAGUCUUUCAACGUCUGAAUACACAUUAAAAACCAAAGUCUUUGGAGAAUCAAUACAAUCUCUGAACUGUAAUACUCUGUAAAAUCAAAAAGUAAAUUAAUUCUUCCAGUGUACAGUGACAUAGACUAUAAAUUACUUUUCCAACAAGGGAGGAAAGCAAGCAUAAUAAUGAAAUGCUGGACCAAAGCAAGACUGAACAUAGCAAACCGCACUCUAAGUCUUGAAACUCUAUAUCUGAUGUCAAAGGGUGUAACUCUUCUAGCUUUGCAGACUGCAACAUCUCUCUUUGAAGAAGAUUCUUUGAACAACAUUCAAUUGUUUUUCUAGUCCAAAGCCCCAAAGUCUUCCACAGCUUUGUAUACCUGUCACAGUACUCCAUUCCUGGCACCAAUCUCUUAGUUGCUUUUCUGUUGCUGUAAAGACAACAUUUAAAAGAAAAGCAAUUAAUUGGGGGUGUGGCUUACAGAGGGUACAGUAGACAUGCAUGCAAGUAGGAGUGACACUAAAAAAGUACCUGAGAUUACAUCUGCUCCAUAAGCACAAGGGAGAGAGAGAGAGCGAAUUGGGUAUAGCACAGACUUUUGAAAUCUCAAAAGUGACACUAAUAAGGUCAUACUUCCUAAUACUUCCCCAGAAGUUCCACAAACUAUGGCAGAAGCACAAACAUAUGAACUUAUGGGGACCAUUCUUAUUUAAAAUCUCAAAGUGAGAGAUAAUGUGUCUAAUUUUGUACUUCUACAUGUGAAUGUACAGUUUUCCCAGAACCAUUUUUUGAUGCUUUCUUUUCUCUAGCUUACAAUUUUGGCAUCUUUGCUCAAGUAUUAGGUGGCAGAAAUUACAUGUACUUACAUUUGGUUCUAUAAUUUUGUUCCAUUGGGCUAUAUGUUUGUACUGGUACCAUAUUGUUUUUUAUUACUAUUGCUCUGUAACGUAUUUUAGGAUCUACUGCAACAAGGCCACCCCUCUUAAUAGUGCUACUCCCUAUGGGCCAAGAAUUUAGAUAUAGGAGUCUCAGGGUGGAGGCAUAUCAUUUCAAACCACCCGUUCUACUCCAUGGUGCCCAUAAACUUGUAACCAUAAAGUAAUGCAAAAACGCAUUUGGUCCAACCUCAGAAGUCCUUAUAGUCUAUAACAGACUCAACACUAUUUAAAAAUCUAAUGUUCAAAGUCUCUUCUGAGAUCCAGGCAAUCUGUUAACUGUAAUCUGUUAUAAAAUUAAAAUUAAAGAUCACAUACUUCCAACAUAUAAUGGCACAGGAUAUACAUUAUCAUUCAAGCAAAAUGUAGGGAAGGGAGCAUAAUAAUGAAAUACUGGACCAAAGCAAGACUGAAAAACAGCUGGACAGACUUCAAGCUCUGCAUCUCCAUGUCCGCUGUCAGAAGUCUCUCCGGCUCUCCAUCCCUUUUCAGCUUUGUGGACUGCAACACACUUUUCUCUCUUAGGCUGGCUCCACUCCCUAUUGGCAGCUCUCCUUGACAGGUACCUGUGGCCGUGGCAUAUCGGGGUUUCCAAGGCACUGCAGGUUCUAUCUUCAUAGCUUCCCACAGUGGCCCCUCGGGGCUUCCGUGAAGGAACAACACCCUUGCCACGUGCCUGGUCUCAGACUUUUCUUAGUUGUGGAGGACAGUUCCAUAACCCUUGACUCUUUUGUAUGUCUGAUAAGAUCAAACUACAUCCCGUGUGCCUCUAGAUUAAGGUGUAGAACUCUCAGUUCCUUCUAGCACCGUGUCUGCCUGCGUGCUGCCAUGAUUCUUAACUCUUGCUUCACAGAGUACUCUUGGCUCUAAAGUCAGUACUACAUGGCCAAAGCUGCCAUGUUCUGCUGCUUGCUAGGACUGGAACAUGGCCUCCUUGCUGAAUCAAGGCUUUACUUCAUCACCUAAGCUUGGCUGUCCUGGAAUUUGCUUUGCAGAUCAGUUUGACCUUGAAUUUAGAUCUCUCCUGAGUGCUGGGAUUAAGGUUGUCUACCAUUUCGGAACCUAAACUGUUUUUUAAUAUCUUUUCAAAAACUGGAAGCUUAGCUUGGUGGGAUUCCGCCUUGAGGUUUACAUUUUGAAAGGUUUAGUCCAUUGACUGAUGGUAAAGGAGCUGAGGGUUCUACAUUUUGAUUUAGAGGUAGCAGAAAGAGACUGGGCCACACUGGAUGUAGCUUGAUGAUAUCAGACAUUAAAGCCUGCCUCUACAGUGACAUACUUCCUCUAAAAAGGACACAUGGCAACAAGGUCAGUAAUAGUGCUAUUCCCUAUGGGCCUACCAUUCAAAACCCAUGAAUCUAUGGGGGUUAUUCCUAUAUUAACUAGUCAAACCACCAUAGCAACCCAGGGAUUUUGUUUGUUUGUUUUUACUUUUUUGGUUUCAUGUGAAUGUUAGUAUUGUCUUUUCUAUUUCUGUGAGGAAUGAGAUGGGGAUUUUCAUUUAGAUUGUAUUGAAUUCAAUCUGUCAUGAUUCUUACCAUGACAAUAAUGAACUAACCCUCUCAAAAUGUAAGCUAGCCCCAGCUAAAUGUUUCCUUUAUAAGAGUUGUAUUAUGGGUCAUGGUAUUUUUCACAACAAUAGAAACCCUAAGACAGAAGUUGGUACCAGGGAUGGAUAAUCCAGCAAUAGGUCUAACCUUGUUUUUCUUUAGAAGAAUGUGGACUUUGGGACUCUGAACUAGGAAAGUAGUUGGACAAUUUAAGCUCAGCUUAAUGGGCCAUAUUGCAUUGAAUAUAUAUUCUGCAAAUAGCUUUUGUUAAUUUUCAUAGUUACUUCUAUCACUUCAUGAACAUGGGAUAGCUUUCUAUUUUCUAGCACCAUAAAUAUAUAAUCAACAAAUUGUAUUUGUUGAUUCUUUGUACCUUCUCCCCUUGUUUCCACUUUAUUUGUUUCUGCUCUUAAUUGUAAUAUUUUUGAAUGUCAAGUGGAUUUGGAGGCUUUGUUUUAUUUUUCCAAAUUUUUGAGUUGCAUCAUUAAGUUAUUUGUGUACCUAAUUUUUUAUUUUUUCUAAAUGUAGGGACUACUUUGAAUACUGCUCUGAGUGUAUCCCUGAUGUUCUGUUGUGCUUUUGUUUUCAUUUAGCUUCAGAAUUUUUUUAUCUGUCUUGAUUUAUUCUUUCAUUCAUGAAUCAUUCAGUGAUUAGUUCUAUGAGUUUGUGUUUCAAUCUCUGUGAGUUUCAAUUAGAGACUUAUUUGCUGUCAAUUUUAAGUUUUCCUGCCUUGUGGUGAGAUAGGGUUCAAUGAGUCCUUUCAACCUUUUUGAAUUUGUAUAGAUGUGUUUUGUAUUCCAGGCUUUCUUGUGCCGCUGUGCAGAAUAUGCAUUCUUUUCUGUUUCAGUGGAACGUUCGUUCUGUAGAUAUUGAUACAUGAUACCAAUUAAUUCUGAUGAAUCUCUUUUUUUUUUGUCCAGAUAACUUGUCUGUUGGAGAAAGUGGGGUAUUGGAAUCACCAAUUAUUAAUGGAUUGUGUUAAUCUGUUUCAUUAGUUCUAGAAGUAAAUUUUUUAAUAUAAAAUUGGGUGUUCCAGAAUUUGAUAUAUACAUGCUUAGCACAGUAAUGUCUUGGUUAACUGCUCCCUUGAAGUUUGUUACAUAUUAGGAUGAAGGCUUAUGCUUGCUUUCUGGUCCCAUUUGAUUGAGGUACUUUUAUUUUUGAGCAUUCUAUUAUGCUAAGGCAGUUUCCAUCUUUAAAGCUAAGACCUGUUUCUUCCAGAGAACAGAAGUAUUUCAUUUCUUGAUUUAUUCAGUCAGUAUGUUAAUUGUGACUUCAUGUUGACUUUUUUUGUUUGUAGAGAUAAUUUGUGUUUUAAUAAUUAUGGUUUGAUAUUUCUAUCCAUAUAGUCUUUCUGCUGUGACCAUUCCUCUCUUGAGUAUGAAAGAUUGUCUUCUGUAUUUUUUUUAGAUUUUGAUUGUUAGAUAUUACAUUUUUAAGGCUUUUUAUACUGUGCAAUGUUUUUCUUUUUUUCAAUUAUGGCAGUUUUUAUAGGUAUAUUAGACUAGGCUGGCUGUCAUAGUCUUUUAGGAUCUGGAAAGCCUUGUUCCAGGAUUAUAAGGGUUCUAAGUUUCCAUUGAGAAAUCAUCUGUUAUUCUGAUGGGUUUUUCUUUAUAUGUGACUUGUAGUCUUUUUCUUGUAGUUUCAGUACUCAGACUUUCUUACAUAUAUUUAGUGUUUUAACUAUGAUAUGCUAUGGAAGUUUUCUUUCUGGUCUUGUCUAGUUGGUGUUCUGCCAGCUUCAUAUGAGGAUGUGUUUUCUUCAUUUGGUGAAGUUUUCUUCUAUGAUCUUGUUGAAAUGUGGUCUACGCCAUUGACUUCAUAUUGUUCUCCGUCAUCUAUGCCUAAAAUCUGAAGGUUAUAUCUUUUUAUGAUGCCCAACAUUCGUCUGUUGGUUCCCUAUGUGGUUAAAUUUUUUCAUAUUCGUUAUUUAGUUGGUCUAGCUGUUGAGUCCUUAUAUCUUUCACUUGAGGAGUCUCAGCUAGAGAUUCAUCUUUUAGAUGCUCUGGGGCUUCUGAAUGCAUGUUUGUUUAUUGACUUUUUUUCUUAUUCUGGGUACUUCCUCUUGUGCAUGGGGUGGACAGUUGCUUGUGAUUGUGGGGACAAGCUCCAAAACUUAUCUUCAGGUUUCGCCGCAGAUAUCUGGAAAGGCCAGCUUGCCUGACAGGUCUUUCAUGCUUAGAAGUUAUAAUUGUUUACAGGCUGGAAGGACCACAGUGGACUCUUGAGGUCUUAGUGUUGUUUAUGCCUUGCAUUGUCUAUGAUCCAUGUCUAUGGUCCAGCCUGUAUUUCCCAUCAUUCUCUUAUCUUGCAGGGAGUCAUAUACUUUCUGAUUUGUGAACAGAUUCUCAUUUAUAUAUAUUAUUAUAUGUUCAUUCCAGUAAAGUACAUUUUUUUUGUCAUUUGUAGAGAUUCACAUUGCUUAUGCUGACAGAUUGAGUUAAAUCCACAUCCCUUUUGGGCUUUAGGUAGUAUGGCUUGCUUGGGAUUUUCACUAAGUCUCCUCAUCUUGAAAAUUCACCAAUUUUCUCUUUAUUGUUGAUAUUUACGUCAUGAAUAUCUGAAGAGGUAUUAGAAGGGAACCAAAAUACAGUGAAAUUAUCACUAUAACGAAAAACAUUAAAAAUUAUUUCAGCUCCUUUAGUGUACAAAGUAUUAAGUCUCAUAUUAUAUUUUCAUAUUGGUCCUUAUAUUUUUCUCCUUAUUGCCCUCUCCAGUCCCCUGCGCCCUCUGACAUGUUCUUUUCUUUUCUCCAUGUAUUACCUGUCUUUUUCUAUGGCAUUGGGAAUUGAACUCAUGACCUUCUGUAUAUUUUAUAAGCAUCAUACCAUUGAGCUAUGUUUCUUACCCCUAUUUUAUAACCUUUAACCAUCCUAUUUAGAAAUCUCAAGGACACAUGUUGAAAUAAUCAAUCACUCAAUGUUUUCCCCAUUUAUAUAUGAUUAUUAGGACUUACAGAUAACUGCUUUGUCCUUUAAAGGAGUCAUAAUAGAUGAGAAGAAACAGUCAUUGAAAAAAUUUGUGAACUUAAUGCUUCAGAUAAUUAGUUAAUUAUAAACACACAGAUUUAUGGUCACGGUCAUAGAUGGGAAAUGUGAGUUGCACAAAUAGAUUUAGAAAAUGGUCUUUUUAUUAGAAGAAUAUAAUUAUUUGAUAAAACUAAUUUAUCUUUAUCAGUGAGGAUUUUUUUUCCUUUGAACUCAUGAGAACCAAACUCUGCAAGUUGUCCUUGGCCUUCACAUGCAUUCUCUCUGUCACACACACACCACACAUACACAUACACACACACACACACACACACACACACACACACACACACACACACACACCACAGCACAGGGAAAUAGAAUAAAUUAUAAUAAAUUGUAAUAACAAUUUUAAAUAAUUAUUGGUGAAAACAGGUCUUACUCAUAAAGGUAAACUUAAGUAUAAGGAUGUACAAAUACCAUUUAUAUUAAAGAAUGACCUCUUAGAAAACAUUUGGGCCAAAACUUAAUACAAAGAAAUUGAUAUAAUUUUUAGUUUUAUUACUAUAUUCACAUCCUAUUCUAUUGUUAAUAACAUAGUUCUGUUAAAUAUCCUGGUAUUUAUUCAUGCUAAGGUCUGUCAACAUUUAUGUUCAGGUUACUUAAUACAGAUUUAUAAGAGAUGAAUUUGUAGGCGCCACAUUGCUUUGUCAAAAUAAAUUCCAUAAUUGUAAAAAUGCAUGAUAAAGCAAUUACUUUCUGAAAACGUGCUUUCUUUGCUAAGUCGCUCCUGUAUUUUUACCUAGACAUUGUCCCUUAUUCCUGUCAUUGUUUUAGAAAUAUUAUUUUACUACACAAUAGUUGACUACUUUCAGACUGUGCGGAUUUUAACACUCUAUUUCCUUUAUAUUGGUUCUGUUAAUCUAGUUAUUGUCAAAAGACCUGAUAAUGUUAAUGCAUUUCUUCUCGUAGUGUCCUGGUAAUGUGUACAUUUAUUCUGUGUGUCUAAAAUGUAUGUAAUGAAUUCAGCAGUUGUGAGUGAAUGAAGGGUAGUUUAUGAGCCAGUAACAAAAAGGAGGGCUCUUCAAAGAAAAAGAUAUUAGAUUGAAUAAAAGAGUGAAAGAGAGAAGAAAAGAAGGGGGUGGGGAAGAGAGGAAGGGAUCCAGAAGGAGGAGGAAGAGGAGAAGAAGACAUCACUCGGAUAGCACGUCAGUUACUGGAAUUUAUGGUCAUUGGAUUUAAAAAUAGCUUGGUGGUUCUCCAGGAUACCUCAGUGUCCUGAGAAUGUGAUAAUCUGGAUUUGUUUACUGUUUGUCAUUGCCAUUGUCAUUGUUAUUUCUCAUGAAUGCGUAUAUUUAUAUCUAUGAUAAUGGCAAACUUGGAAAACAUGGUAUACGUUCAAACAUAAAAUUCAUCAUCAAAUUAUAAUUAUUUUUAAGAUUACUAAUAGAAAAGAAACUUUUAUUGGCUUUGUCAAAAACAAAAUCAAAAUGUAAGUUUUCUCAGCUACGGCUUGAGCACCAUGCCUGCCUGCCUGUCUGUCUGCUGCCGUUCUUCCCGCCAUGAUUGUCAUCGGUUCAUCCCCUCAGACUGUAAGCAAGCCCCCAGUUAAAUGCUCUGAAAUUUGAAGUAUAUUGAAAUGCUGUGAGAACUUUCAGAUGUUGGCAUUUGGGUUUUCUUCAGUGGGUUGGACUUACAACUGUAAAAUAUGUCAUGAGGCAUGCUUGCAGAGUUUGCCUCCGAGAAACCUAAAUAUUCCUACUGUUUUUAAAUAUGUUGAUGGAAUUACUUAGUUGUCAAAAUGAGCUUUACACUCGUUCCUACAAAGGCUUCACUACUUUGGAAGUUAGUUAUUAGAAACUAACCUUCCACUGCAGCCUUCUUCUAAGAGUGUUUGUAUGAACCUCUCUUAUAAUAAAAUGCAGUGUUCUCAGUUCUGUGUUGACAUGGAAACAACCUGCUUAAGAGAAAAGUAAUUAAAAGGCGUUAGCAUAAUACUGAAUAUCACUUGAAAAAUAUGUAGCUUUCUAUAAGGAUUUAAGAACAAUGUGCCAAUAACUUUUAGGAUUCCAGUAAUCUUUUCCUGACUUAGCCACCAUUUGGAAUAGUGGGAAAUAAAACUUACAAGGUCUAGAACAUUUUCCUUUUGGUAUUGGAAAUUGAGCUCAGGGUCUUGAACAUUACUAGGCAAGCAUACUGUCACUGAAAUAUGUCUUGAGCCCUUCAUUUUUUUUUCAUUUUGAGGUAGUAUCUUGCCAGCUUUCUUAAACUGGUUUUGAAGUAGCACUGUAAGUCAGAUAGGCCUUGAACUAAUAAUUCUACCGCUUCAUCCUCUCUAGUAGCUAGAAAUACAGGUCUACUCAGCAAUUCUUACUUACAGUUAAUAUUUUAAACUACUUUUAAUUACAAUGGCUGUGCAGUCUAUUUUGUGAGAAUAACCAAACAAAGGUUGAAUAUUGUCAUUAACACAGGUAUCUUAGUUACUACUUCUAUGACAAAGCAUCCUCACCAAAGCAACUUAUAAAAGAAAGCACUUAGUUGGUGCAUACUUAACAGUUUGAGGGGGUGAACCGAUGACCAUCAUGGCGGGAAGCACAGCAGCAGGCAGACAGGCAGGCAGACAGGCAGGCAGGCAGACAGACAGGCAGGCAGGCAGGGAGGCAGGCAUGGUGCUCGAGCCGUAGCUGAGAAACUUACGUGUGUGUGUGUGUGUGUGUGUGUGUGUGCCUGUGUCUGUGUUGUGGGGAGAAGGUGGGGGUGAAGAAGGAGGAGAGAGGUCCUGUACUGGAAAACUGGAAAGAGCUGCUAUGCUUGCAGAGAAGUAGAACUGGAUACUUGUUUGUAGUAUUCAAGUCCCACACAAUUUCUAAUUUUCCUUCAUCUGUUGCUAGCUCUAUAGUCGCUUGCUCUGGAGUUCUGGCUUUUGUUCAAAUUUGUUCUGUCCUGUCUUGUUUCUACCAACCUAUGUCUAUGGCAUAUUCCAUUAUCCUCAAUUUCUGACACUGGCUUAUACCCAACUUUAAUAUUGCUCCUUCUUGUCUUCAGGGUUGAAAUCUCAAAGCAACUGCAGUUCACAUGUCAUUUAUUUCUUAGUUUUCUUAGGGAAAUAUUAAAAUCAGUUUUCAAAAUUACACACACACACACACACAGGAGGGGGGAGGGGGAGGGGGAGGGGGAGAGGGAGAGACACACACACACACACACACAGACAGAGACAUACACAUAUGCUUCACAUAAGUAAAUUUACAUCCCUUUCAGGAAUCUGAUAUAUUUGAGGAUUUUCAAUAGGUUGAGAUUGGGUGGAUCAUCCUGAGGAAAUAGUUAGCAAAGAUGGAUAGAAAGCUUGGGAUGGUUUGAGAGAUGAUAUAACCAUUUAUAUGUAAGGCAAUAUUUUUCUGCAUAUAUCUUUCUCCCAAUAAUGAGACUUCACAUUUAAAAAAGGCGAUUUUUAAAAAAAAUGUAUACGUAUUUCUGUGUGUAUAUGAACUUUUGGGCACUUGCAGAGCCCAGGAGAAGUUGAAUUCCGUGUAGCCAGAAUUACAGGAACCUGAUGGUGGGGCCUGAUCUCCAGUUCUCUGGUAGAGUAGCAAACACUUUUAACUGCUGAGCAAUUUCUACAGCCAAAAGAUUUUGUUUUUUAAAAAUAACUCACUUAAAUAUUAGACAAUUGAUUGCAAAAGUCAUUUCAAUAAAAACAUGAACAUUUGAAGUGAGGCUUCUGAGGAAUGAAGGAGAACUUUAUUCACUUGACCUCCCUUUGGAAUAUGAAGGGAAGGACGCAACUGAGACUCUUCUGCAGAUUUCUGGUUUAGUGUUUCUGAGUGGUCGGGAAUAUGACUUACAGAGCAGGGUAGUUAGAAGAGCUAAUAGGUUCUGAAGGCACAGAUGAUGGUGAUUUCCUGUCACUUCUAAUCCAAAAGGAGCUAUCUAAUCGAGAAUUAAAUGCUUCACUUGGAACUCAGAUGGAGACUGGGGAUCCACAUUAUUCCAGUUUUUAAAGAGGUAAAGUGUGGAACGUGCUAUAGAGAAGAUAGAAAAGACUAUUAAAAAACAGUAGUGCCAUGGAAGGCUGGAGAAUGUGGACUGCAAAGGGGGCUGCAUAAGCCUUUGCAUGUUGCAGUUCUGUGGCAUGAUGUAGCUAGAAGAGAGGGAUACAAAGUCAGAGGAGUUGUUCAUUGCCUCUGUCGGGAAUUUUAUCACAGUGGCUUCUCACUGUAAUCCCAAUAAUGCCUUUGAAUAGAAUGUCUGUAGGCUACUGAAGGCUACCUAAGGCAUGCUGAGACUUAACAUCCUUCCUUUUCUUGCAUAAUUAGAGAGUUUUCUGUAGUCACUUGCAAUGUUCAUGACAUAUUCACAUUUCACUGUCAUGGUCUGGAAAACAUCUCUAAAUACAAAUUUGUUUUUACUUCUCUUUUUAUCCUCCCCCUUGAGACAGUUCCUUAUGUGUGUACAGGUGUGCCUGCAGCUCCUUAAUGUGUGAUUCCCAGACCGCAGCAUCUUAAGAUUUGGGAUUGCAGGUAUGUUCUACCAUAUACAGAUUAAUUUCUUCUCCCAGUUCCUGGGCUGGGAAUUAAAUCUCGGUCUUUACACAUGAUAAGCCUGUGCUCUAUCACAGGACUGCAAUUCCAGCUAGAAAGUAACUUCUGAGCCCCUAAAGAUACUCUCUUUGUGUGUACAUUUGCCGCAACAUUUUUAUAGUAGCUCAAAGUUAGUUGUUUCUGCAAGAAAUCAUACUUGAAUGUAACUUGGAAUACAUUACUUUGGAUAUAGCUUGUGUUAACUCUGCAAAUGUCAAACACAUAAAUGAUAUAACUGAAGAUGGCUUCCUAUGUUUGUUGGUCUUGACAUAACUCUUAGGAUGUUGAUUGAUGUAAACGUGUUUAUUAUAUGCAUGGGGAGGCAACUACUCACUUCUACAUCUAAAUUCUAUAGAUUAGUUCUCAUUUUAAAGUGAAUUCAGUCUUUGAGGUGAGGCUGGUAGUUAAAUAAAGUAAAAACUGAUGAGUUGAGUGAAUAAAACAUUGAACUUAAGCAUCUCUGUCCUUGGUAAAUUUAGUGAGAAUUUUCAGCUUAAAACUCUGGAAAACUGAGUGCACUUGGAAUUGGGCCAUUGCUCUGUUUUGUGCUUCUAGUUUUUGUAAAUUGGAGCACAUAUUGAAUUUCAGAGUUCCCAAGCCAAAAAUAUAUUAAAAACUACAUAUGCUCUUUCCUAGUGGAAAAACAGAGUGAUCUCCAGUGGAGAGGGACUCCCUCUUCCGAGUUUUUCUGCAAAACGAGUUAUUUAUAUAUGAGCUCAGAACCACUGCCAAAAAGAAUCAGCCAGGAAGCAUUCAUGAUGCCAGCAGGAGAAGGUGUUUUAAAGCCCAUUAUGUCUUCGGUUCUCUCAAGAACUCAAGCCUGGAUCAAGUGACAUUUCUGCUGCCCAGUUGUCUGGGAAAACAAAGCAGCAAGUAUUAACAAGUUACAUUUUUAUAAGUUUAUAAUGUUCAUUGGUAGACUAUGUAAAUAUGUUAUGUGUAACAAUGAAAAUGGAUUUGUCUGUAUCCUCAUUCUUAAUUUUUGAUUUUCUUCUGUUUGUAGAUGUGUGAGGGUAUUCUUGGCUGUACAUUUGUCUAUCAUGUUAAAAACGAUGAAUAAAAUGAUAAAUAGG